Molecule: ribosomal RNA, 450 nt
Filed under: uncultured bacterium
Lineage: Bacteria
Description: bacterial SSU rRNA
Rfam family: Bacterial small subunit ribosomal RNA
Source: RNAcentral
GUGGGGAAUAUUGGACAAUGGGCGCAAGCCUGAUCCAGCAAUGCCGCGUGCAGGAAGAAGGCCUUCGGGUUGUAAACUGCUUUUGUCAGGGAAGAAAUCUUCUGGGCUAAUACCCCGGGAGGAUGACGGUACCUGAAGAAUAAGCACCGGCUAACUACGUGCCAGCAGCCGCGGUAAUACGUAGGGUGCGAGCGUUAAUCGGAAUUACUGGGCGUCAAGCGUGCGCAGGCGGUUUUGUAAGACAGGCGUGAAAUCCCCGGGCUCAACCUGGGAAUUGCGCUUGUGACUGCAAGGCUGGAGUGCGGCAGAGGGGGAUGGAAUUCCGCGUGUAGCAGUGAAAUGCGUAGAUAUGCGGAGGAACACCGAUGGCGAAGGCAAUCCCCUGGGCCUGCACUGACGCUCAUGCACGAAAGCGUGGGGAGCAAACAGGAUUAGAUACCCCUGUAGUCC